GCCCCAGGGCCCAGCCCUGUUCCUGCUCCGGCUCCUGCGGGGAUGGAUGCUUCACGCAGUAAGCGAGUAAGCGAGCCCUGGAGACCGGGGCCCUGGGUGUGCGGUCGGCUCAGUGCCACGCGGUGAGAUAGGCAUGGUUAUCAACCCACGCCAAGGCGGUUGUGUACCUGGCAUAGAAAACACUGCUGUUGAAUGUUGUUUCCAUAGUCAUUCGCCAGCGUCCACUGAUGAGAGGUGCCACCACGGACACCCGGCCUUGCUCCGUCGAAGCUUUGGUCCAUUAGGACCAAAGUCAGGCCCCAGCGGGCCUCCCUGCCAUUCCUGGACGGCCUCGCGUCCUCCCAGAGCCUGACCUUCUCUUAUCUCUGCAGCCUAAGUCGCGGAAGCGUAGACACCCGGCUUUUCCCGCGUGCUCUAUCGGGCUCCCCUGGACACGGAGGGUGGAGCAGAAAGAGCAGAGGGGCCGGUGGGAGCCAUGGGGAGUCCGCCUAGCUCCAGAGGACACCUUACCUGGAUCCGCCUUUGUAGCCUCCUCCUGGCUCUGGGGGCUGUCCUGUGGGGUCCGAGUAGCUGAAAGACAGCCCCUCCAUGUGAGGAAGCCCCCAACUGGGGAAAACCCCCUCGUGGACUCAUUCCUGUCCCUGCAUGUGGCCUUCACCUGACUGUCUGCAUUGAGGCAUCCUCUGCCAAGAGCAAUUUCAAAGUGGCAGAAGCUGACAAGUACCUGCCGGAAAAACUGCCUCUUUUCCCUCCCGUGCUUGGAGCAGGCAUUGCUGACAGAUCACAGCUGCUGGGCCCAAAGGUCCCUUUGCACGCGGGACUUCAGGAAGUUGCUGCUGACCUAUGGGAGUUGGUGCAGAAAGAUGAAAUUUGUUAUCCUUGGCUGUAUCAACUCUCUCUCCUCUCCUUGGUGGUGAUAGUUUUGUUCUUAAAAGCCUCUUGUGAGAGAAUUUGUGGAUGAAGAACCUGUAAGAUCACAAGUGAAACAAUUUAUUGAUGUCAAUAGAUUUAUACACGUUCAUUAAGAAUCAAAACUAAACUAAAACAUCAGUCUGACUAAAGAGACCACCACAGAUAUUUCAUAUGCUGUACAUCAGUAACAAAGGGUACCAAAUAGUUAAUAUCCAUGUACUAGUCACAUGAGAAAUGUUUUAGGGUCAUUGACCAGUGUAGUCAGUACAGUGGUCCCAUGGUAUUUGUGGGGGAUUGGUUCCAGGAAUCUCUUGGACACCAACUCCGUGGAUGAUCAGACAAUAUAAAAUGUGGGUCAGGUGCGGUGGCUCAUACCUGUAAUCCCAGCAUUUUGCGAGAAUCACUUGAGGCCAGUUCAAGAUCAGCCUGUGCAACAUAGCAAGACUCCACCUCUAAAAAAAAAAAAAAAAAAAAAAA
Homo sapiens (human) is the source of this 1389-nucleotide long non-coding RNA. The record is from Ensembl. NCBI's taxonomy places the organism in Eukaryota, Metazoa, Chordata, Mammalia, Primates, Hominidae.